CCUACGGGUGGCAGCAGUAGGGAAUAUUGCUCAAUGGGGGAAACCCUGAAGCAGCAACGCCGCGUGGAGGAUGAAGGUUUUCGGAAUUUAAACUCCUUUUUGUAGAGAAGCUAAUCACGGUAUCUGACGAAUAAACAACAGUUUACUCCGUGACAGCAUCCGCGGUAAUAAGGCAGGAGGAAGCGUUACUCGGAAUCACUGGGCGUAAAGCGGGCUGAGGCGGGAAGGCUAGGCAGAUGGGAAAACCUAUGGCUUAAACAUAGAACUGCAGUUGAAACUGGUAUUCUGGAGUAUGGGAGAGGUAGGUGGAAUUCGUGGUGUAGCGGUAAAAUGCGUAGAGAUCAAGAGGAAUACUCAUUGCGAAGGCGACAUGCUAGAACAUAACUGACGCUGAUGCGCGAAAGCGUGGGGAGCGAACAGGAUUAGAUACCCCAGUAGUC
This 440-nucleotide ribosomal RNA is filed under the name uncultured bacterium. RNAcentral describes it as "partial 16S ribosomal RNA". It matches the Rfam family "Bacterial small subunit ribosomal RNA", at positions 338 to 795 of the family's 1533-position model. The record is from RNAcentral.